CCUACGGGUGGCAGCAGGGAGGAAUUUUUGUCCAUGGGCGCGAGCCUGAACCAGCCAAGGCGCGUGAGGUGAGACGGUCCUAUGGAUUGUAAACCUCUUUUGUCGGGGAGCAAAAGACGCCACGCGUGGCGUUCCGAGAGUACCCGAAGAAAAAGCAUCGACUAACUCCGUGCCAGCAGCCGCGGUAAUAGGGAGGAUGCGAGCGUUAUCCGGAUUUAUUGGGUUUAGAGGGUGCGCAGGCGGAAGUUCAAGUCAGCGGUAAAACUGAGAGGCUAAACCUCUUCGAGCAGUUGAAACUGGUUGUCUUGAGUGAGUGAGAGGUAUGCGGAACGCGAGGUGUAGCGGUGAAAUGCAUAGAUAUAACGCAGAACUCCGAUGGCGAAGGCAGCAUACCGGCGUGUAACUGACGCUCAUGCACGAAAGUGUGGGUAGCGAACAGGAUUAGAUACCCCAGUAGUC
Molecule: ribosomal RNA, 459 nt
Filed under: uncultured bacterium
Lineage: Bacteria
Description: partial 16S ribosomal RNA
Rfam family: Bacterial small subunit ribosomal RNA
Source: RNAcentral